This 68-nucleotide ribosomal RNA is filed under the name Luidia clathrata. RNAcentral describes it as "partial 28S ribosomal RNA". It matches the Rfam family "Eukaryotic large subunit ribosomal RNA", at positions 1 to 64 of the family's 3401-position model. The record is from RNAcentral. Lineage: Eukaryota; Metazoa; Echinodermata; Asteroidea; Paxillosida; Luidiidae.
UAAUCGACCUCAGGUCGGGCGAGAGGACCCGCUGGAUUUAAGCAUAUCACUAAGCGGAGGAAAAGAAA